Pomacea canaliculata is the source of this 1309-nucleotide RNA transcript. It is a transcript of the gene named integumentary mucin C.1-like, with no coding region annotated. The transcript is spliced from 5 exons. The record is from RefSeq and is a predicted model, not a curated record. Lineage: Eukaryota; Metazoa; Mollusca; Gastropoda; Architaenioglossa; Ampullariidae.
GUUAUGUUCACCUCCAUUUCUCGGCUCAGUUAACAUCCAAGUGCAAGAAUGAAUCCUGUUACCGUGUUUGGCUUUCUUGGUCUUCUGCUCAUUAUCCAAGCAAUGACUUCCGUUCAAACGACCACAAUCGGGGCAAACUCAAACGAGACAACCAUAGCAACUACAACAUCAAAUGAAACGAGCUCACCAAUAGCUACAUCAACUUUAACAUCAGCUGCGGAAACUACAACAACAGCUGCAGAAACUACAACAACAGCUGCAACAACUCCAUCAACAGCUGCAACAACUCCAUCAACAGCUGCAACAACUCCAUCAACAGCUGCCACAACUCCAUCAACAGCUGCAACAACUCCAUCAACAGCUGCAACAAUUCCAUCAACAGCUGCAACAACUCCAUCAACAGCUGCCACAACUCCAUCAACAGCUGCAUCAAAUCCGUCAACAGCUGCGUCCAGUUCACCAGCGGGAGCUACAGCUGGGGCGGCCAGUGAGACAGGUUCAUCAGUGACAGCUACAACACAUCAGACUACAACUCGUCAACACAAGGAUACAGUUGUACCUUACGUCUGUCGGUGACCUGGUGUCCAAGCAGCAUCUCAAUGUUGACUGUUCUGUUGGCCAACUUGCGCAACACAGUAUAAUUGUAAUGUGUCGCUGCCUUCCUCAACGGAGAAGACCUUCCAUAAAGUCCCUGCGCAUUGAUUUUAAGUUUAGAUUAUGAACCUCUGUACUAAAUACUGUUAUUGUAGUUCUAAAAUCCCAUAUUUUAGUUUAAAUUCUGUAUUCCCCAAAUAUAGGACUUGAUUUUUUGUGCCGCGAUUAAGAGAUGUGGGAAACAACUGUAUCUAUGAAAAGUAAGGUAGUUUGAACAAAGAACUUGUUUGAAUAUAUUUGUUACAAUUUUUAAUUAUUUUUUGUCUUUUUAAGGGUUGUAUAGCUUGUAGAAGUAACCGCUCAUUGACCAUAGAGACAAUAUUUCUUUCCUUGCUGUUGUAGUUGACAAUUUCUUUCUCUCUCGCCAUCAGCAUUGCGAAGUCAGCGUCUCUCUCCACCUCUCUCGCUCUCUACUAUACUUCACUUGGAGCAUCUCAAUAUGAACCAAGUUAAAUCUUGGGGAUUGUGUUUCCUUAAGAAAGAAGAAAAGGACCGUUGAUGUUUUCUGAGUUUUGGAAACGUCCUUUUAUUCUUUUUUAUGUGAAAUUUGAUCAAUCAGGUGACUUUUUGUAAUCUGUUUUACUCUAUUGUCUACAAAAGGCUCAAAUAUUCUUCAUGCAAAAAAAUAAAGACGAAACAGCUUUUUAUAGCUUGA